AAAGUCGUAACAAGGUUUCCGUAGGUGAACCUGCGGAAGGAUCAUUAACACUUUUUAUUAUUUUGUUUUUUUUCUAAAAACAAAAUUUAAAACCCCACAAUUUUGGAUGAAUUUAAUUUAUUUAUUUUUUAUUUUAUUUUUUUUAUUAUAACCCUAUUAUUUGACUAACAUUUUUAUUUAAUUAUUAAAAAAUUAAAAAAACAACUCUUAACAACGGAUAUCUUGGCUCUC
Molecule: unclassified non-coding RNA, 231 nt
Filed under: fungal sp.
Lineage: Eukaryota; Fungi
Description: partial internal transcribed spacer region
Rfam family: Eukaryotic small subunit ribosomal RNA (bases 1-47)
Source: RNAcentral